AGUGAACGCUGGCGGUAGGCCUAACACAUGCAAGUCGAACGGCAGCACAGGAGAGCUUGCUCUCUGGGUGGCGUGUGGCGGACGGGUGAGGAAUACAUCGGAAUCUACUCUGUCGUGGGGGAUAACGUAGGGAAACUUACGCUAACACCGCAUACGACCUACGGGUGAAAGCAGGGGACCUUCGGGCCUUGCGCGAUUGAAUGAGCCGAUGUCGGAUUAGCUAGUUGGCGGGGUAAAGGCCCACCAAGGCGACGAUCCGUAGCUGGUCUGAGAGGAUGAUCAGCCACACUGGAACUGAGACACGGUCCAGACUCCUACGGGAGGCAGCAGUGGGGAAUAUUGGACAAUGGGCGCAAGCCUGAUCCAGCCAUACCGCGUGGGUGAAGAAGGCCUUCGGGUUGUAAAGCCCUUUUGUUGGGAAAGAAAUCCAGCUGGCUAAUACCCGGUUGGGAUGACGGUACCCAAAGAAUAAGCACCGGCUAACUUCGUGCCAGCCGCCGCGGUAA
Molecule: ribosomal RNA, 506 nt
Filed under: uncultured bacterium
Lineage: Bacteria
Description: partial 16S ribosomal RNA
Rfam family: Bacterial small subunit ribosomal RNA
Source: RNAcentral